AGAUUUCAGUUGAGAAGCAAUGCUGUUUCACCUCCCUGAGAGAAUUGCCUUGUUUGUGAAAUACUACAGAAAAACCUGUAUUUUCUCCAGAAAAUGAAAGGUCUUGGCCUGAGUAAAUCAAGGCAGAAAACUCACCCCCGUGAAAGCUGCAGCUCUGAGAGUGUGUGGGCAGGGCUUCAACAGAAUACCUGUGGCUGCACUUACAAAAGGCAGCCAGAAGGACCCGUCCAUUCUGGAAAGUACCUUUAGUCUGAAAGCAUUUAUUGCAGAAAAAAUAUGAGGCUUGCUGGUAGUAUUCCCAGGUGACAAAUGUGCACCCAACACCCUACAGAAAAGAAGAACCAUAAAAUAAUUAAUUAUUCCAUUGUAACUCCUGCCUGGAAAACAUCUGAAAGAAGUCACUAGAUUCAGCCCACAUUCAAGAUGAGAAAUACCAGAAGGCAGAGAACACUGAGGCUGUUUUAGAGGCUGUCAACCCCAGGGAGACAGACAGCAAAUAAGAUGCUUGGAUGUUUUCACACCACUCUGACACAUGGAUGGAAGGUUAGAAGACAACAAAGGAAUGGGCUGGGAAGGACUCCAAAAGCAGAAUCAGAGAUUAUAUCAUUCCUUGGAAAUGGAGAAAAGGAUCAAAAAAGCUGAAUAAAAGGCAAACAUGGAGGAACAGAGUUUGGAGCAAUACCCUGACUUACAUUCAGUACUGUUAAUGGCUCCAGCAUCUUGAAACAAACCAAUUUUGGAUUUUCAGUGAAAAAGAAAGCCAACCCAGAAAAUCACUUAGGAAGAUCCAGACAACAGAUGCCGCUGUCCAAGAUGACGUGAACUCCAGGCUAUUGACUUUCCUCUACCUUCAAUGGAAAUUGUCAUGGAGAAUUAAGUUUUUGACAAAUCUACAGCCUAUGUGCAGGGCUUCUUCCUGGGUGUAACAAUAAGGAAUUUGGAAACUGUCUCUAGUUUUGGCCUGGAGUCACACUGCAGCUUGAGACCCUGUCAUUUCCAUCAAGCUUGAAAAUAUACAUCUUAAUAAACUGCAAUACUUCUUAAA
Molecule: long non-coding RNA, 1045 nt
Filed under: Homo sapiens (human)
Lineage: Eukaryota; Metazoa; Chordata; Mammalia; Primates; Hominidae
Description: long intergenic non-protein coding RNA 2831
Source: RNAcentral